Molecule: ribosomal RNA, 300 nt
Filed under: uncultured Rhabdothermus sp.
Lineage: Bacteria; Thermotogati; Deinococcota; Deinococci; Thermales; Thermaceae
Description: bacterial SSU rRNA
Rfam family: Bacterial small subunit ribosomal RNA
Source: RNAcentral
GCGAAGUUCGGGUAGGGAGCCGCGUGGUGACGAAGGGUGGACGCGGUGCGUGGAAUUACUGGGCUUAAGGUGGGGUUAGGGUGUCGUUUAAGGCCGUUGUGGAAGGCGUUGGCUCAACCUGGGAGCUGCCGUUGCUACUGGGCGACUAGAGUGUGGUAGAGGUGAGCGGAAUUCCGGGUUUAGCAGUGAAAUGCGUAGAGAUCAGGAGGAACAUCCAUGGCGAAGGCAGCUACCUGGACCAACACUGACACUGAGGCACGAAAGCGUGGGGAGCAAACAGGAUUAGAUACCCCUGUCGUC